UUGUUUUUUCCAUGUAUCUUUUCUAGAAACCGAUUUAUCUAAGCUUCGCUGAUUCGAUCGGUAGGAACUUUUUGGUGGUCGACAUUCAGGAAAUGCCAGGAGGGUAACAAGUUGCAUCGGAAAACUGAAAUGCCGAAGUUAAAUUAACAAGUUGGUUCGAAUUUUUCGUCCGUGUGACAGCUAAUUUAGAAGCAAAGCGCAUUUUUAGUCCGAUCGACCCUCAUCUUUAGUGACGUUUUUAGAGCUCGUUAUAUUCAGAUGUCAAUUAAUCGAAGAUCUCACACGUCAUUUCAAUAUCAGAAGUAUUUCGAACUCUUCUUCCGCUUGGACGCAGAGCUUUUCGGAAAAGGGAACACACCAGCUCGCCCUCUAAUACCAACCGUAUUUAUAUUAAGUUUAAAAGAAAUUCAAUUAAUAUCAAGCAUAUAUUGGAAAUAAGCAAAGCGAUGGGAAUUUAGGAUGCAAAAAUUCAGAAAUUAAAGAAUUCUAGAAGAUAUAAGAGAAUUAUUGAGGACUUACUAGGAUUUAUAGGAUGUGCGACGAAAUUCCAAGACCUUCCUCGGAUUUACGUAAAGGAAAGAGAAUUAUUGAUAGAUUGCAGAGAGUUUAUUUCAAAGAAAAGGAUUUAUGGAGUCAAUCAAAAAUUAAAAACGGUUCUUCUGUACGGAACUUAAUGUGGUUUGAGACGGGUGGUAUUUAAUGGAAAGCUCAUCAGAAAGAAAACAUGAACCAUUAACCGCAGUGAUUUUACCGGGUGUCAGCUCACUGGCUCGACCUUCCUCAUCGCUCCUUAUCGGCAGGAUCAACUCUGCUUCUCGAUGGUAACGAAGAUAAAAUGUUCAGGUCCGCAAACGAAUGAACAAUUGCUUGCUGAAACAAUCAGCACCUACAUUUCUUACACAACUACUGGAACACUUCGCAAGGAAGGACAGAAACACGUCUCCAUUAAAAAACAAUUAAAAUAUUUUUUGUAUCGUUUCACUAAAUUACUUUAUACGAUGACUAAAGAUAUAA
Agrilus planipennis (emerald ash borer) is the source of this 1014-nucleotide long non-coding RNA. RefSeq lists it as uncharacterized. Lineage: Eukaryota; Metazoa; Arthropoda; Insecta; Coleoptera; Buprestidae. The transcript is spliced from 3 exons. The record is from RefSeq and is a predicted model, not a curated record.